GACCAUGGUCUAGGGUGCAGCUUGAAAAAGCAGGGGGAUGGGGAGAGGGGGAUUGGACUGCAGCUUUCAGAAUCCCAUAGCCAGGAUGGCCAGUGGCUGAUCAGUUCAGAGAACAGCUUGGAAAGUUUUUGGAGGCUAUUUGCCAUGGAACCUGGAUUUGGAAGAAGCUCCAGAAACGAACUAGGAUGUUGAGCUCAUCAAUGAACAGAUGGGUUGGUCAGUGCUUGGAUCUGACCCCUUGCAGGUGCCAACCUACUUUGCUGCUGUAAUCAAUAAAAGUUGUGGCCAACUUCUUUCCAACUCCUUGUGUGUGGCAGUUUUUUUUGUG
This is a long non-coding RNA of Anolis carolinensis (green anole), 328 nucleotides long. RefSeq lists it as uncharacterized. The transcript has 3 exons. Lineage: Eukaryota; Metazoa; Chordata; Lepidosauria; Squamata; Anolidae. The record is from RefSeq and is a predicted model, not a curated record.